UACGUAGGUGGCAAGCGUUGUCCGGAUUUAUUGGGCUUAAAGGGCGCGUAGGCGGCUUAUUAAGUCAGUGGUGAAAUACUCUAGCUCAACUAGAGGAGUGCCAUUGAUACUGAUGAGCUUGAGUACAGAUGAGGUAGGCGGAAUUGACGGUGUAGCGGUGAAAUGCUUAGAUAUCGUCAAGAACACCUAUAGCGAAGGCAGCUUACUGGGCUGUAACUGACGCUGAGGCACGAAAGUGUGGGGAUCAAACAGG
This 253-nucleotide ribosomal RNA is filed under the name uncultured bacterium. RNAcentral's name for it is "partial 16S ribosomal RNA". It matches the Rfam family "Bacterial small subunit ribosomal RNA", at positions 524 to 776 of the family's 1533-position model. The record is from RNAcentral.